RNAcentral lists this unclassified non-coding RNA (407 nucleotides) under soil metagenome. RNAcentral's name for it is "partial contains 5.8S ribosomal RNA, internal transcribed spacer 2, and large subunit ribosomal RNA". The stretch from base 1 to 120 matches the Rfam family "5.8S ribosomal RNA", at positions 35 to 154 of the family's 154-position model. The record is from RNAcentral.
GAUGAAGAACGCAGCGAAAUGCGAUAAGUAAUGUGAAUUGCAGAAUUCAGUGAAUCAUCGAAUCUUUGAACGCACCUUGCGCUCCUUGGUAUUCCUUGGAGCAUGCCUGUUUGAGUAUCAUGAAAUCCUCAAAGUAAACCUUUUGUUAAUUCAAUUGGUUGCUUUGGACUUGGAGGUCUUUGCGGAUUAACAUCUGCUCCUCUUAAAUUUAUUAGCUGGAUCUCAGUAUAUGCUUGGUUCCACUCGGCGUGAUAAGUUAUCACUCGCUGAGGACACUGUAAAAGGUGGCCAGGAAAUACAGAUGAACCGCUUCUAAUAGUCUAUUAAAUUAGACAAUUAAUUUUAAGAUCUGAUCUCAAAUCAGGUAGGACUACCCGCUGAACUUAAGCAUAUCAAUAAGCGGAGGA